This 351-nucleotide ribosomal RNA is filed under the name uncultured Pelotomaculum sp. RNAcentral's name for it is "bacterial SSU rRNA". It matches the Rfam family "Bacterial small subunit ribosomal RNA", at positions 1034 to 1382 of the family's 1533-position model. Lineage: Bacteria; Bacillati; Bacillota; Clostridia; Eubacteriales; Desulfotomaculaceae. The record is from RNAcentral.
ACAGGUGGUGCAUGGUUGUCGUCAGCUCGUGUCGUGAGAUGGUUGGGUUUAAGUCCCGCAACGAGCGCCAACCCCUACGUUUAGUUGCUAACGCGUGAAGGCGAGCACUCUAGACGAACUGCCGUUGAACAAACGGAGGAAGGUGGGAUGACGUCAAAUCAUCAUGCCCCUUAUGUUCUGGGCUACACACGUGCUACAAUGGCCGGUACAGACGGACGCAAAGCCGCGAGGCGGAGCAAAUCCGAAAAAGCCGGUCUCAGUUCGGAUUGCAGGCUGCAAUUCGCCUGCAUGAAGUCGGAAUCGCUAGUAAUCGCAGGUCAGCAUACUGCGGUGAAUACGUUCCCGGGCCUU